This is a non-coding RNA of Podarcis lilfordi (Lilford's wall lizard), 75 nucleotides long. Lineage: Eukaryota; Metazoa; Chordata; Lepidosauria; Squamata; Lacertidae. The record is from the annotation of a GenBank genome assembly.
GGAGGCCCUGAAUCUUAGGGGCAGAACAUCUGCUUUGCAUGCAGAAGGUCACAGGUUCAAUCCCUGACAUCUCCA